Molecule: long non-coding RNA, 1534 nt
Organism: Triticum aestivum (bread wheat)
Lineage: Eukaryota; Viridiplantae; Streptophyta; Magnoliopsida; Poales; Poaceae
Exons: 3
Source: RefSeq, a predicted model, not a curated record
CAUUUUUUGCCCUUGUCUACGUUGCCACCUGUCGGUGACCCCUUUAGCAUAUAAAAGGAGGCCCAUGCGCAAUGUAGAGGGGGGUCGAGGUCAGAAAACAUUCACGCUCGGUCUUGUUAGCAGCUGGUGUGUACUGUAACACUCAGCGCUCCCGAGCAAGAACUCAAUACACUCAGACAUGCAGCAGUAGGAGUAUUAUCUCUCCGGAGAGCUCCGAAGCUGGGUAAACCGCUCGUGUGCUUCGCCUCGAUCUGCUCUUCGUGCGAUCUCCGCCCCCCCACCGAACCGAAAGGGGCUCGGUUCGCCGGUCCCAUAGGUGUUCGUGGAUCAGUUUCCCCGACAGCGACUUUAUAAAGGGCACACUUUCUUGCCUAGGUUCUCAUCUUGCAGCGUCGUUGGUCCGUCUCCCAAAUUCCGGCGGCGCCCACACCCCCACCAGCGGCCACCUCUAGCCUGAGGCCCGAAAGGCACGCCCGAAGAGAUGCAGCCAUGGAGCUAAGCAUCGCCAGCCUCAUGAGCCCGCACAGCCUGCGGGAGCCCCUAUGCCUGGAAGCGACGGAAGUGCUUUUUGAUCGUGCGUGCCUCUCGGACGGCCGGCGUGCGUGAUGUGGCGGCAGCAAGGGCGGGGUCUUCCUUGUGCGCGUGCGUGUGGUGGUGCAUGUGAGCGUUGGACUGCGGAGGCUGCGGCGACCUCGAGCACGACUACGCGGCGCAAGAUUUAGUGGAGCAGGAGCUGGCCGUGGUCGGGCAGGUUCGGGGCGCACGUGCAGUCGCGCAGGUGCUCGGGAAACCACACGCGUGAUAGAAGCAGGACCUGUCUUGCCGAGCCAGCCGCAUAACCUUGCAGUUGCAGGGCCGAGCUGCUCCCUGUCUUUGCUUUUCCCCCAGGACUUCAGUUUACUCAAGAAACCAAGUAGGUGAUCAUGGAGGUUGACACAAGUACAUGCCAAGUCAGCGUAAAGCUGAGAUGGGAAACCAAAUUGAGCAACUUCAGAAGCGUAAUGCACUAUCCAAGGUAGACCACGAUAGCAGGUAGUCUUGUCAUCUUGCAUCUUUCUUUUUCGAGGAAUUUUGCAUCUUCAUAUAUCUCAUGCAUUGCUUAUAGCUGUGGUACAGAACAUGUAAUGGAAGACUAUUCUUUUUCUUAAUGCAUUUGUAACCUCUGUUUAUUAUACUGUAGAGAAGAGAACCACAUAAUCUUGAUACUAAUAGUUUCAUUUCCAUAAUGGUACAAAAAAGCUGUCUGUAGUUUCCAGAUAUCUUGUCGAUGUUAGCCAGGAAGAGCACCAAAGGAAUGAGCCUAUGGUAUACACCGGAAGCAAGCCACCAAGGGCCUCUUGAGAAGAGGUAGCUUCAGCACUGUACCACUAGAUCAUAGAGACCGACCCAGCUGGAGGAUCGACGUCUCAGUUCUACCUAUAGAAUAUACAGGCAAUGGUACCAUUGUAAACUUGUAGUCUCGCCUACCAUCAUGUAUCUUAAGGAUGUAGCACUAAUGCUGAAACCAUAUAUAACUAUAUCCAUAAAUAUCUAU